This 467-nucleotide ribosomal RNA is filed under the name uncultured bacterium. RNAcentral describes it as "partial 16S ribosomal RNA". It matches the Rfam family "Bacterial small subunit ribosomal RNA", at positions 28 to 507 of the family's 1533-position model. The record is from RNAcentral.
GAUGAACGCUGACAGAAUGCUUAACACAUGCAAGUCCACUUGAAUUUGGGUUUUUAACUUAGGUUUGGGUGGCGGACGGGUGAGUAACGCGUAAAGAACUUGCCUCACAGCUAGGGACAACAUUUGGAAACGAAUGCUAAUACCUAAUAUUAUGAUAAUAGGUCAUCCUAUAAUUAUGAAAGCUAUAAGCGCUGUGAGAGAGCUUUGCGUCCCAUUAGCUAGUUGGAGAGGUAACGGCUCACCAAGGCGAUGAUGGGUAGCCGGCCUGAGAGGGUGAUCGGCCACAAGGGGACUGAGACACGGCCCUUACUCCUACGGGAGGCAGCAGUGGGGAAUAUUGGACAAUGGACCGAGAGUCUGAUCCAGCAAUUCUGUGUGCACGAUGAAGUUUUUCGGAAUGUAAAGUGCUUUCAGUUGGGAAGAAACAAAUGACGGUACCAACAGAAGAAGUGACGGCUAAAUACGUG